GACGUAGGAGGCAAGCGUUAUCCGGAAUUAUUGGGCGUAAAGCGUCCGUAGGUGGCCCUUCAAGUCUGCUGUUAAAGCCCAGGGCUCAACCCUGGAGAAGCAGUGGAAACUGGCGGGCUAGAGUGCGGUAGGGGUAGAGGGAAUUCCCGGUGUAGCGGUGAAAUGCGUAGAGAUCGGGAAGAACACCAGUGGCGAAAGCGCUCUGCUGGACCGCAACUGACACUGAGGGACGAAAGCUAGGGGAGCGA
This 248-nucleotide ribosomal RNA is filed under the name uncultured Acaryochloris sp. Its description in RNAcentral is "partial 16S ribosomal RNA". It matches the Rfam family "Bacterial small subunit ribosomal RNA", at positions 524 to 771 of the family's 1533-position model. Lineage: Bacteria; Bacillati; Cyanobacteriota; Cyanophyceae; Acaryochloridales; Acaryochloridaceae. The record is from RNAcentral.